GCCUUCUUCUGAUUCUGUGUCUCCCUCUCUCUCUGCCCCUCUCCCGUUCAUGCUCUGUCUCUCUCUGUCUCAAAAAUAAAAAUAAACGUUGAAAAAAAAAAGUUGAAAAGAACAAAGUGCCAUCAUCUGUGAUUAAUUCAAAGGUAACUAUUUCAGGGUCAUGUGACAUUAAUUGCCUUCCUUAUACAUUCAAGUAAAGAUGUGAUUAUAUAAGUUAAAAAAUUUUAUCUGUAUUAGAACGACACCAAUGUAAUUAUAACCUGAAACAUUUUCAUCACACAUAAGAAAAAGAUUAAUAUGAUUCCUAUAUUAAGCACACUCAAAAUCCAAGUAGCCAAUGGAGCAAUGGACAAAACCCAUGGCCACUGUAGCAAACAACUUACCUGAGACCCUGAGAAUUCCUGUCCCUUUGGUUUGCCUUUUUAGGGGAAGAAAGCAAACUCUGGUGCUGGCAGUUCAAAGAAAUCAAGACCAACAUCUUUUCCAGACAACUUGAGCUGGCAUCGGAAGAUCAGGACAAUCCAGAUUUUAACAUGAAUUUGAGCUAGCAUAGGAGAAAAUGCUUUGCGAGUCACAUUAGAAGUGAAAAGACAGUGAAAAGAAAUAGAAGAUCACUACUUAUGGGACAAAGGAAACAAGUGACACUGAGCCUGCUGUAAUUGACCUGGCAGUUCGCCACACUACAGCCCAGACAGUAAUCACUUGGACAGGAUAUCCCGCCUCUCCGGUUUGACUGACAGCACAAGUCCUGUUUUAAAAUCACUGUCAUGGGCUUUUUAUCAGUAAGUAACAUCCAUGUUGCCCCGCAUGCACACUGCAGAAGAUAGCUGUCUUUUUAAUGUGUCUUCUCCUUAGCAGAGGAAAGGGACUAAAAACAAUCGGUGCUUUAUCUCCUGUAAAGGCUCUUCAUGCCUGAAAGUGUUGUUGCAACCUAACACAGUCGUAGGAUUUUUUUUCAGAAGAGAGCCAUAUACGUACUCCAAAGGUCAGCUGAUCUCAAGUUAAAUAGGUCGGCUUCCCACAUGUUGUCACUCCCUCCUAGAUUCUGUCCAGAUUCAAUAUUUUUAGCUAUAGCGAAAUACAAAAACAUGGGCUCUUUCUGGAAAGCCCUGACUGCUGGAUGCCUUUUUACUCCAUACAGCUCACCACAUUUGAUGCCACUUUUUCAUUAAGACUUGUGAUUUUAGUGUGAGGUGCAGUGAUGGUUUUUAAGUUGUGUUGGCCCUGUGUAUUUAUGUAUUUCUGGCUUAGCGUUUUAAAAUCUAUUUUGCUGUUACUCAAUGAACUGCUAUGGAAGAAAUAUAUUAGUUUGUGAAGAUGACAAUAUUUAUAACAGUAUCUGAAGAAUACCGUAGGAGCUGCCCACUCGGUAUGAUGCAUUUUAUGAAGAAUAUCCACAAAUGUAGACAUAACCAAAACCAAAAGGCACACCCUGUAAUAAAUCACACAGCGAUCCUUGAUGAUGUGUUAUUUCACCGAUUACAUAAGUACUGCCUCCAAAUGUUAAACCAUUCCAUACAAUAUGUAGGUGACAAGGGCCACAGGAAAAGAAUGGUUGACACAGAGCUGGACAUUUCCCAUAGAGACAGAGCAAGAGAUGAGAAAAGACAAAGCAUUAAGGGCCGGGAGACUUAGAAAUAGGAAUGUGGAAAGAAUGGGAGAAGGCAUCUGUGUCAAACAUUCUGCCUUAUUCCAGGAAGCGUUCUGUUUGGCAGAAUACAGGUUCCCAGAAAGGGGAACAUGAAGAUAAAGGUACAAAGCUAAGGGGUCCCCGAUGGUUGGGGGCCUCGGAGGGGCUAGGGAAUGUGAACUUGAUCGCAUCCGUAUGGUGGAAAUGUAAUAAGACCCCAGAGUAGGCAAUUGUGGGUUUGAAUUGGGAGACAGUUCAAAGCAAUCCUAUGAGCAAGAGGGUAUGUGAGGAGGGGACACAUAUAAAAUAUCAUAUAGGUAAAAUUAAUACUCUUGGUGACUGGGUAUGAAGACAGAAUAUGUGGUGACACUCACUGGAAAUUUUGGGGUGUACUGAAUGAGGUGCUAGUGAGAUGUCAGAUUAUACUCUGUAGGCACUGAGGACAUAUGGAAUUGCAGAUAGGCUGGAAGGGAUAAUAGAGAAAGAAAUUUCCAUGUAUUGAUUGGCUACCAUGUGCCGGGUAGUUUGCUAUUUAAUAGUUUUAAAAGCUCCCCAGGUGAAUCUAAUGUACAGCCCGGGUUAGGAACUGCUGUAACCAAAUCCUUUAGUAUAAUUAGUUCAAGCAAUUACAGCUUGAAACUAGCCUCUUAAAACUUUUUUGGGAGAAUUAUGAGAAUUUUUUUUGAAGUAACUUUUUAGAAGCGAUGAAAUAGAAAAUAUAAUCGAUAGAAAACUCUGAAAAACCAACAGCAUGCAAUUUUCAUUGGCACACAACCAUGUGUUACUUAAACUUUGUGUAAGUGUAUAUAUGUGUCAUAUGUACAUAUAUAUGUACUAUGUAGAAUUUGGAGAAAAAAGAAUCAAUGCAGUUUUGCACAUUGCGUUACACUUUAGUUUUUUUUCUACAGAAACCAUGGGUUGCUGUAAUUGAAAAUAGGUUUCAAAAGGUGUUUUUUUUUAUAAUCCUUGCAUUUCCUUCAGAAGAACACUUAGACAUUACACAAUGAAUGAAUACAUCUUUAAUGUAAAUGAUAGGGCAUAUCCAAUGUCAUCUACUGUAGGGCAAGAAUUCUGGCAUUAUUUUAAAUAAUGUGACUUUUUCUUAGAAUUAGUUAACAUUUUUCAGCAAAAAAGUACUUUCUUACAUGUCACAGUUGAAGUUCUAGAAACAUAAGUCAUAUUUCAAUUAAUUUUGCAUCACGUAGAAAGUCUCCAAAUCACACCAGUUCUGAGAAUAUGAUUAACGAACAUGAAGACUUCUACAAAGGGCAAUUCGAAACCAACUUCUGAUUGUCAAGGACCGAGCAGAGCUUAACGCUGGCCCUGACUUCUUCUUCUUAGGCAGCAGAGAGCUUCACUGUCAAGGCCUGAUGAUGAGGCCUACAUAAAGGAAUUUGCCAGCAUCGUGGCGUCCGUGCACUGGGUUACAUGAGGAAACUGGGACUGGAGAUUUAAGAGAAUCACCCAAGGAUGUGACUAAUAAGUGGCAGCUUAUGCCAACCUGGAAGGCAGCUAUGCCAACCAUUAUCCCACCAAUGCUGAGACUUUUCACCCGGAAUCACUGGCUCCAAAUUCUUUGCCUUUCCCAUGAGGCCACGCCGUUCUGUGAUAGUGUGCAUAAUUUCACCAUGGCUCCGAGUACUGUCCUAAGCCAGUGAGCCAUGGUUCUCUGAAUCUAGCUCCGCUCUGUCUGCCCAGGCUGACCUGAGCACCUAGCUGCCCACCGGAAACGUGCACGCAGCACUCCUCUGGCAGGUGAGUGAAGAUCUGUGUCCAUUUCACCCCAAGUCACUUCCCAGCAGAUUGUUCUUGUACUUUCUGAUUUCUGUCUGGGUUGUCUGGGUCAUCAUUCUACAAAUUUUAAAGAACUCAGCAGAAUGCAUGAAAAUUAAGACCCAUCGCAGUAUACUACCUUUAUAGUUUUCCAUUGUGAUAUCUGUGUUCUGCUUUUCAGGGUGGGAUUUGUAGAGAGUAAAGGUGAAAGAGAGCAUUUGGAGUGUAUAUCCAUGCAUUUUUAUUUUUAUUUAAAAGAAUUUUUAACAUUUAUUUAUUUUGAGAGAGAGAGAGAGCAAGGGCACGAGUGGAGGAGGGGCAGAGAGAAGGGGAAACACAGAAUCCAGAGCAGGUC
Long non-coding RNA from Felis catus (domestic cat), 3758 nucleotides. RefSeq lists it as uncharacterized. The transcript has 3 exons. NCBI's taxonomy places the organism in Eukaryota, Metazoa, Chordata, Mammalia, Carnivora, Felidae. The record is from RefSeq and is a predicted model, not a curated record.